GGUGCAUAUGAUCCAUGAUUGGGGCUGUCAUACUGCAAUGGUAUUCAGGUUAAUGUCUUUGAAUAAUGCUUUUCUUAUUGAUAUAAUUAUAAUUAUAACUGUCAAGGACUUUAUUUAUUUAUUUUCACAGUGGGUUAUUUUAUUGAAUAGAUAUAUGUGUUGCGCAUGCGUUAUAUUCCGUGUGCGCGACUCUUGUGGGCUACUGUUCCUUUGUUAAUUUUAUUUCGAUCUAAUUCUAAUAGUUUCACUAUUACUAGUACUAACCAAGUUUCAGGUCUAGUCCGAUCAUGUGAUCGGCGUAUCUGGACGUGUUGUGUGCGCAUGCGUACUAACCAAGUUUCAGGUCUAGUCCGAUCAUGUGAUCGGCGUAUCUGGACGUGUUGUGUCGCGCAUGCGUACUAACCAAGUUUCCGGUCUAGUCCGAUCAUGUGAUCGGCGUAUCUGGACGCGUUGUGUGCGUCUUGCGUAAUCACGUGAUCCUAC
Non-coding RNA from Pelobates cultripes (western spadefoot toad), 483 nucleotides. Lineage: Eukaryota; Metazoa; Chordata; Amphibia; Anura; Pelobatidae. The record is from the annotation of a GenBank genome assembly.